Molecule: ribosomal RNA, 225 nt
Filed under: Triticum aestivum (bread wheat)
Lineage: Eukaryota; Viridiplantae; Streptophyta; Magnoliopsida; Poales; Poaceae
Description: partial small subunit ribosomal RNA
Source: RNAcentral
UUUUUUGGUGCUUUCCAUAAAAAUGAAGUGGAUCUCUCGAGUAUCAACUCUGCUUUUAUUACCCUGCUGCCUAAAAAGGACACGCCUCUGGAAAUGCAAGAUUUCAGGCCUACUUCUCUUGUGCAUAGUGUACCUAAACUGGCCUCUAAGGUUCUGGCUAGUCGGCUCAAAAUAUGGAUUCCACAUUUGAUUCACACACUUCAGUCUGGGUUUCUAAAGGGAUGA